Molecule: ribosomal RNA, 559 nt
Filed under: Candida albicans
Lineage: Eukaryota; Fungi; Ascomycota; Pichiomycetes; Serinales; Debaryomycetaceae
Description: eukaryotic LSU rRNA
Rfam family: Eukaryotic large subunit ribosomal RNA
Source: RNAcentral
UCAGUAGCGGCGAGUGAGCGGCAAAAGCUCAAAUUUGAAAUCUGGCGUCUUUGGCGUCCGAGUUGUAAUUUGAAGAAGGUAUCUUUGGGCCCGGCUCUUGUCUAUGUUCCUUGGAACAGGACGUCACAGAGGGUGAGAAUCCCGUGCGAUGAGAUGACCCGGGUCUGUGUAAAGUUCCUUCGACGAGUCGAGUUGUUUGGGAAUGCAGCUCUAAGUGGGUGGUAAAUUCCAUCUAAAGCUAAAUAUUGGCGAGAGACCGAUAGCGAACAAGUACAGUGAUGGAAAGAUGAAAAGAACUUUGAAAAGAGAGUGAAAAAGUACGUGAAAUUGUUGAAAGGGAAGGGCUUGAGAUCAGACUUGGUAUUUUGCAUGCUGCUCUCUCGGGGGCGGCCGCUGCGGUUUACCGGGCCAGCAUCGGUUUGGAGCGGCAGGAUAAUGGCGGAGGAAUGUGGCACGGCUUCUGCUGUGUGUUAUAGCCUCUGACGAUACUGCCAGCCUAGACCGAGGACUGCGGUUUUUACCUAGGAUGUUGGCAUAAUGAUCUUAAGUCGCCCGUCUU